Molecule: ribosomal RNA, 497 nt
Filed under: uncultured bacterium
Lineage: Bacteria
Description: partial 16S ribosomal RNA
Rfam family: Bacterial small subunit ribosomal RNA
Source: RNAcentral
GAUGAACGCUGGCGGCGUGCCUAAUACAUGCCAGUCGAGCGAACAGACGAGGAGCUUGCUCCUCUGACGUUAGCGGCGGACGGGUGAGUAACACGUGGAUAACCUACCUAUAAGACUGGGAUAACUUCGGGAAACCGGAGCUAAUACCGGAUAAUAUAUUGAACCGCAUGGUUCAAUAGUGAAAGACGGUUUUGCUGUCACUUAUAGAUGGAUCCCCGCCGCAUUAGCUAGUUGGUAAGGUAACGGCUUACCAAGGCAACGAUGCGUAGCCGACCUGAGAGGGUGAUCGGCCACACUGGAACUGAGACACGGUCCAGACUCCUACGGGAGGCAGCAGUAGGGAAUCUUCCGCAAUGGGCGAAAGCCUGACGGAGCAACGCCGCGUGAGUGAUGAAGGUCUUCGGAUCGUAAAACUCUGUUAUUAGGGAAGAACAAAUGUGUAAGUAACUAUGCACGUCUUGACGGUACCUAAUCAGAAAGCCACGGCUAACUACGUG